GACGAACGCUGGCGGCGUGCUUAACACAUGCAAGUCGAACGGAAAGGCCCUGCUUUUGUGGGGUGCUCGAGUGGCGAACGGGUGAGUAACACGUGAGUAACCUGCCCUUGACUUUGGGAUAACUUCAGGAAACUGGGGCUAAUACCGGAUAGGAGCUCCUGCUGCAUGGUGGGGGUUGGAAAGUUUCGGCGGUUGGGGAUGGACUCGCGGCUUAUCAGCUUGUUGGUGGGGUAGUGGCUUACCAAGGCUUUGACGGGUAGCCGGCCUGAGAGGGUGACCGGCCACAUUGGGACUGAGAUACGGCCCAGACUCCUACGGGAGGCAGCAGUGGGGAAUAUUGCACAAUGGGCGGAAGCCUGAUGCAGCAACGCCGCGUGCGGGAUGACGGCCUUCGGGUUGUAAACCGCUUUCGCCUGUGACGAAGCGUGAGUGACGGUAAUGGGUAAAGAAGCGCCGGCUGACUACGUG
RNAcentral lists this ribosomal RNA (468 nucleotides) under uncultured bacterium. RNAcentral describes it as "partial 16S ribosomal RNA". It matches the Rfam family "Bacterial small subunit ribosomal RNA", at positions 28 to 507 of the family's 1533-position model. The record is from RNAcentral.